UUGAACGCUGGCGGAAUGCUUUACACAUGCAAGUCGAACGGCAGCACGGGGGCAACCUUGGUGGCGAGUGGCGAACGGGUGAGUAAUACCUAGGAACAUGUCCAGUAAUGGGGGAUAACGCAGCGAAAGUUGUGCUAAUACCGCAUACGACCUGAGGGUGAAAGCGGGGGACCGUAAGGCCUCGCGCGAUGGGAGCGGCCGAUAUCGGAUUAGCUAGUUGGUGAGGUAAAGGCUCACCAAGGCGACGAUCCGUAGCUGGUCUGAGAGGACGACCAGCCACACGGGAACUGAGACACGGUCCAGACUCCUACGGGAGGCAGCAGUGGGGAAUUUUGGACAAUGGGGGCAACCCUGAUCCAGCCAUUCCGCGUAAGUGAAGAAGGCCUUCGGGUUGUAAAGCUCUUUCGGCAGGAACGAAACGGUGGUCCUUAAUACGGGCUACUAAUGACGGUACCUGAAGAAGAAGCACCGGCUAACUACGU
Molecule: ribosomal RNA, 482 nt
Filed under: uncultured bacterium
Lineage: Bacteria
Description: bacterial SSU rRNA
Rfam family: Bacterial small subunit ribosomal RNA
Source: RNAcentral